UAGGGAAUCUUCCGCAAUGGGCGAAAGCCUGACGGAGCAACGCCGCGUGAGUGAUGAAGGUCUUCGGAUCGUAAAACUCUGUUAUUAGGGAAGAACAAAUGUGUAAGUAACUAUGCACGUCUUGACGGUACCUAAUCAGAAAGCCACGGCUAACUACGUGCCAGCAGCCGCGGUAAUACGUAGGUGGCAAGCGUUAUCCGGAAUUAUUGGGCGUAAAGCGCGCGUAGGCGGUUUUUUAAGUCUGAUGUGAAAGCCCACGGCUCAACCGUGGAGGGUCAUUGGAAACUGGACAACUUGAGUGCAGAAGAGGAAAGUGGAAUUCCAUGUGUAGCGGUGAAAUGCGCAGAGAUAUGGAGGAACACCAGUGGCGAAGGCGACUUUCUGGUCUGUAACUGACGCUGAUGUGCGAAAGCGUGGGGAUCAAACAGG
RNAcentral lists this ribosomal RNA (429 nucleotides) under Actinomycetes bacterium. RNAcentral describes it as "Actinobacteria bacterium partial 16S ribosomal RNA". It matches the Rfam family "Bacterial small subunit ribosomal RNA", at positions 355 to 776 of the family's 1533-position model. Lineage: Bacteria; Bacillati; Actinomycetota; Actinomycetes. The record is from RNAcentral.